GACUACUGGGGUAUCUAAGCCUGUUUGCUCCCCACGCUUUCGCUCCUCAGCGUCAGGAAACGUCCAGAGAACCGCCUUCGCCACCGGUGUUCCUCCUGAUAUCUGCGCAUUCCACCGCUCCACCAGGAAUUCCGUUCUCCCCUACGUUCCUCAAGUCUGCCCGUAUCGAGAGCAGGCUCAGGGUUAAGCCCUGAGUUUUCACUCCCGACGCAACAGACCGCCUACGAGCUCUUUACGCCCAAUAAUUCCGGACAACGCUUGCGCCCUACGUAUCACCGCGGCUGCUGGCACGUAGUUAGCCGGCGCUUCUUCUGCUACUACCGUCACUUUCACUUCGUCGUAGCUGAAAGCGGUUUACAACCCGAAGGCCGUCAUCCCGCACGCGGCGUUGCUGCGUCAGGCUUUCGCCCAUUGCGCAAUAUUCCCCACUGCAGCCCCCCGUAGG
This 445-nucleotide ribosomal RNA is filed under the name uncultured Propionibacteriaceae bacterium. RNAcentral's name for it is "partial 16S ribosomal RNA". The record is from RNAcentral. Lineage: Bacteria; Bacillati; Actinomycetota; Actinomycetes; Propionibacteriales; Propionibacteriaceae.